Molecule: ribosomal RNA, 253 nt
Filed under: uncultured bacterium
Lineage: Bacteria
Description: partial 16S ribosomal RNA
Rfam family: Bacterial small subunit ribosomal RNA
Source: RNAcentral
UACGUAGGGAGCAAGCGUUGUCCGGAAUCAUUGGGCGUAAAGAGCGCGUAGGCGGUCCGGUAAGUCGGUUGUGAAAACUGGGGGCUCAACCCUCAGAGGCCGACCGAUACUGCCGGGCUAGAGUCCGGAAGAGGCGAGUGGAAUUCCUGGUGUAGCGGUGAAAUGCGCAGAUAUCAGGAAGAACACCCGUGGCGAAGGCGGCUCUCUGGGACGGUACUGACGCUGAUGCGCGAAAGCGUGGGGAGCGAGCCGG